UGCAGAGUUCAAGUGAAAAAA
Molecule: non-coding RNA, 21 nt
Filed under: Caenorhabditis elegans
Lineage: Eukaryota; Metazoa; Nematoda; Chromadorea; Rhabditida; Rhabditidae
Source: RNAcentral